RNAcentral lists this ribosomal RNA (119 nucleotides) under Pteropus alecto (black flying fox). Lineage: Eukaryota; Metazoa; Chordata; Mammalia; Chiroptera; Pteropodidae. The record is from RNAcentral.
GUCUACGGCCAUGCUACCCUGAACGAGCCCAAUCUUGUCUGAUCUCGCAAGCUAAGUAGAGUUGGGCCUGGUUAGUACUUGGAUGGGAGACCACCUAGGAAGACCAGGUGCUGUACAUA